Molecule: ribosomal RNA, 255 nt
Filed under: uncultured bacterium
Lineage: Bacteria
Description: partial 16S ribosomal RNA
Rfam family: Bacterial small subunit ribosomal RNA
Source: RNAcentral
GACGUAGGGGGCCAGCGUUGCUCGGAAUUACUGGGCGUAAAGGGUUCGUAGGCGGUGCGGCAAGUCGGGAGUGAAAUCGUCUGGGCUUAACUCAGGGGCUGCUUCCGAAACUGCCGUGCUUGAGUGCGGGAGAGGCGAGUGGAAUUGCAGGUGUAGCGGUGAAAUGCGUAGAUAUCUGCAGGAACACCCGUGGCGAAGGCGGCUCGCUGGACCGCAACUGACGCUGAGGAACGGAAAGCUAGGGGAGCAAACAGG